UCCACAUGUCGUGUGUGUUUUCUCCUUUUCACAUUUCCCCGCUCCCACGCGGGCUUUCAACUAUUGAAAUGCAAGUCAAAACUUACUUCCCCACGCCUCUAGCCCGAAGAUAUCUCUUCUUUAUUUUAUUCUGAACUUCUGUUACUUCGUUCAACCCUUUUACGACGUUGCUACCUGCCAUGGCGAAGCCUGUAUUGUCCUCUUCUAUCAAUUAUAAGUGGCAGUACGAUGUGUUCCUUAGUUUCCAUGGUGAAGAUACUCGAUUAGGUUUCGUUGGCUUUCUCCCUGAAUCUUUGCGUCAAAGAGGAAUUCGCGUCUUUAUUGAUGAUGAGUUCAUCAGAACCGGAGAAGAAAUCACACCCGCACUUCUCAAAGCCAUACAAGAAUCUAGGAUAGCCAUCAUAGUUUUCUCUGAGAACUAUGCGAGCUCGACAUUCUGUCUGCAAGAACUUGAAAAGAUUCUUGAGUGAUUUAAAGAGGAAUGUCGAUUAAUAUAUCCAGUGUUUUAUUAUGUGGAUCCAUCAGAGCUGCGACGUCCAAGAGGAAGCUAUGCAAAAGCGUUGGCUGGAUUGGAGAAAAGAUUUGAAGCCAACAUUCAAAGAACACAAAAAUGGAGGUUGGCUUUAUCCCAAGCGGCUAACUUGAAAGGCUGUCAUCUCAAAUUCGAGAUUGGGUUUCUAUUUUUCUUUACCAAAAUAAGCUGGGGUUCAGUUUCACAAUACUUGCAUAUUUGCUUUGAUGAGGAACGGAACUUUUUCUUUACAAGGAGGAUUGCAAACGAACAAGAAUAUACUACAAAGAUCAUGAAUGAAGUAUUGGCGAGGAUUAAUCUUAAUCCUUUAUACAUUACUCAUUAUCCCGUUGGACUUGUGUCCCAAGUGAAAGAAGUAGUCUCACUUUUAGAUCUUUAGUCUACUAAGGGAAAUAAAACCAUAGGAAUUACGGGAGUUGGUGGAAUAGGUAAAUCAACGAUUGCAAGAGUUGUGUAUAAUUCUAUUGCUAAUCAUUUUGAAGGCCUAUGCUUUCUUUUUAGCAUAAGAAGAGUCUAAAAUGCCAAAUGGUUUGGCACAUCUUCAAGAGGCAUUACUUUGUAAAUUAGUCAUGGAGAAGGAUCUCAAAUUGGGUGAUUUUUAUGAAGGGAUACCAAUAAUAAAACACAGGCUUGGCUAGAAGAACAUUCUUUUGAUUCUUGAUGAUGUUGAUGAAUUGAAAUGGUUAGAAGCACCAGCUGAAAGUUGUGAUUGGUUUGGUCUUGGAAGUAGAAUUGUCAUGACAACAAGGAAUAAACAAUUGUUAGUAACUCAUCAUGUUAAUAGCAUUUACAAUGUGAGGGAAUUAAAUGAUGAGGAAUCUCUUCAAUUGUUUAGUUGGCAUGCCUUGAAAAAGGAGAAUGUGGAGUCUGACUUCAUGAAAGUUUCCAAUUGUGCAAUACUUUAUUCUUGUGGCUUUCCAUUAGCUCUAGCAGUGAUUGGCUCUAACUUAUGUGGUAAAGGAGUUAAUGAAUGGCACUUUGCAUUGGAUCAAUUUAAAAGAAUUCCAAAAGGAAGAGUUUUGGAAGUCCUUAGAUUAAGCUAUGAUGCUUUAGUAGAAAUUGAGAAAAAAAAUUUCCUGGACAUGGCAUGUUUCUUCAAAGGUGAAAAUUUAGAAGUCAAGGAUAUGUUGUAUUGUUUACAUGAAAUCCCAACAGACUAUGUUAUUGAAGUUUUGAUUGACAAAUCCCUUAUCUAAAGGAGAUAGAGUGGUAAUGCAUGAUUUGGUAGAAGAUAUGGGUAAAGAGAUUGUUUGACAAGAAUCACUAAGUAAGCCUAGUGAACGGAGUAGGUUAUGCUUCAAAAAAGAUAUUCUUCAUGUUUUAAAACAAAACACAGUAAGAUCCAUCAAUAUGUGAAUUAUGUUUUUUUUCUCCUUUAAAACUUACAAUAUGAUUUUUGCGUGUCUAAAUUUUGAAAUUUAUUGUGUGCUAUUCAUGUUGAAAGGGAACUAAUAAAGUUGAAGUCAUAAUUCUAGACCUACCUGAAGGUAAUGAAGUUUAAAUACAAUGGAGCGGAAAGGCAUUCAUGAAGAUGCUGAAUCUUAAAAUGCUUGUGAUAAAAAAAUGCAAGCUUUUCUAAAUGCCCCAAACAUCUCCCAAAUGGUUUAAGGUGGUUGAAAUGGAAGGCUUUUAAGGUUUUGCCAUAUAAUAUUUGCUUUACAAAACUUGUGUAUCUAGACUUGUCUUAUAGUUAUUUUGAAUCACUCCAGCCAUUUACAAAGGCAAGUAUACACUUAUAUCUAAUACUUGAUAUGUUUCAUCAUGGUUUAUUUGCCUAACUUUUUAAAGAAUUUAUGAUUGUUUAAUUUUGCAGAAGUUUCACAGUUUAAGUUAUAUGAACUUCAGAAAUUGCAAAUUUUUACAUCAAACACCAAAUUUGUCUGGAGUUUCUAAUUUAAGGAA
Prosopis cineraria is the source of this 2434-nucleotide long non-coding RNA. RefSeq lists it as uncharacterized. The transcript has 3 exons. The record is from RefSeq and is a predicted model, not a curated record. Lineage: Eukaryota; Viridiplantae; Streptophyta; Magnoliopsida; Fabales; Fabaceae.